RNAcentral lists this ribosomal RNA (587 nucleotides) under uncultured bacterium. Its description in RNAcentral is "bacterial SSU rRNA". It matches the Rfam family "Bacterial small subunit ribosomal RNA", at positions 339 to 916 of the family's 1533-position model. The record is from RNAcentral.
CUACGGGGAGGCAGCAGUAGGGAAUCUUCCGCAAUGGACGAAAGUCUGACGGAGCAACGCCGCGUGAGCGAUGAAGGCCUUCGGGUCGUAAAGCUCUGUUGUCAGGGAAGAACAAGUAUCGGAGUAACUGCCGGUACCUUGACGGUACCUGACCAGAAAGCCACGGCUAACUACGUGCCAGCAGCCGCGGUAAUACGUAGGUGGCAAGCGUUGUCCGGAAUUAUUGGGCGUAAAGCGCGCGCAGGCGGUUCCUUAAGUCUGAUGUGAAAGCCCCCGGCUCAACCGGGGAGGGUCAUUGGAAACUGGGGAACUUGAGUGCAGAAGAGGAGAGCGGAAUUCCACGUGUAGCGGUGAAAUGCGUAGAGAUGUGGAGGAACACCAGUGGCGAAGGCGGCUCUCUGGUCUGUAACUGACGCUGAGGCGCGAAAGCGUGGGGAGCGAACAGGAUUAGAUACCCUGGUAGUCCACGCCGUAAACGAUGAGUGCUAAGUGUUAGAGGGUUUCCGCCCUUUAGUGCUGCAGCAAACGCAUUAAGCACUCCGCCUGGGGAGUACGGCCGCAAGGCUGAAACUCAAAGGAAUUGACGG